CUACCACUAAUUGUUUUAAAUAAUUUUGUUCCUACAAUAUAUUUUGUUGGAAUUAGUGUCGAUAGCAAGUAUCAAGAAACGGCUUUUUAAUUCAACGUUGAAGAAAUUCAUAACCUGUGGCACUUUUGACAGCCGCCAUGUUUUCUCCAUAAAAACAUUGAUUUUCUUUGCUCAUUUUCGUGUCAACGUAGUUUUUUUGGAAAAUAAAGGAAGGAAAUAAAGAAAGGAAAGGAAAGGAAGUUUGACUUACUUAGAGAAAUACGACUGAGACAUAAACACAAGCAGCAGCCGAUGUGCUUGAGUUGCAGAAGUAGCAACUGCGUUGUGAGAGCGCCACGGCUUCAGCCCUCACAAUGAUAGCUGAUUAGCUAAAGCAAUGAACAGACAGGCUGCAGUCAACGAGAGGUUUCUUGAGGAGGGGUUCCUCAUAUGGAAAAAGGCUAAUGAAAGGAACAAUCAAGACUGGCGGUGCGUGGGAGGAUCCCGUCCCUACGCAUGCGCCUGGCCUUCAAUGGCCUCACGCCUGUAUUCUUCCUCUUCUUCAUGCGUCAAUUCAAACAGAGGAGCACCUGUGAUUACUGAUUACCUAAGUUCCUAUAUACAAUAAUGGUUUAAUAAUUGUUAACAAAAUAUUGUAUUAUAUAAGUAUUAAUAAUUAUACACAAGGCUAAAAGCAUUUUGUAACAGUCAACCUAUAGGAGAGAAUAUGAGAAAAAAUAAGACUUAUCUUUGAUUGCCAUUAUCUGUAGCUUUAUUAAGUGGUAAAGGGACCUAAUUACUACCUAUAUUUUUUAGUAUUUGUGAUAAUUCAUAGAAUUUAUUAGUUCUAUCAAUAAAUAAAAUAUACAUGCAUUACAAUGUGUUUAAUUCAUUAGCUUACCAGGCCAAAACCCACACCAAUCAAAUAAAUAUCACUAAUACAAGCUUACUAUAAAGGAAAAUUACGAAUUCGGUAAAGAUGGAAACGUAUCUCGUAGGGACGGCUGUCCGGCUGAAAAAUGGCUUGAAGAUCUUGGAGAGAUGCGUACAAGGUCAAUUUCACUUUUAGCAGGAUUUUCUGAAAACGAUCUAACAAUUUCACCCUUUUCUUCGAAAGUUUAAAAUCGCUAAAACGUCAAAAUAUGACAGAUAAGCGAUAUCAAAAAGUUCAACAAAAAUGACAUGAAUCGCGUCAUUCUCCAUUCCGUUCAUUCAUUUUGCGAUCUCGAAACGAUCUUACUAUGUAGCUUGUUUUUAGUGCCAUGUGAAUCGCAAUUUCAUAGCUCGUUCGUAAAAAUCUGAAAACGAGAUGAAAACGAAGUUGUUUUUUGUGACACGAAUCACCCUCCUGUAUCCUGCAUUU
Molecule: long non-coding RNA, 1342 nt
Organism: Plutella xylostella (diamondback moth)
Lineage: Eukaryota; Metazoa; Arthropoda; Insecta; Lepidoptera; Plutellidae
Source: RefSeq, a predicted model, not a curated record